GAUGAACGCUGGCGGCGUGCUUAACACAUGCAAGUCGAACGGAAAGGCUCCUGCUUGCCGGGGUACUCGAGUGGCGAACGGGUGAGUAACACGUGGGUGAUCUGCCCUGCACUUCGGGAUAAGCCUUGGAAACUGGGUCUAAUACCGGAUAGGACGAUGUUUUGGAUGCCAUUGUGGAAAGUUUUUCGGUGUGGGAUGAGCUCGCGGCCUAUCAGCUUGUUGGUGGGGUAAUGGCCUACCAAGGCGUCGACGGGUAGCCGGCCUGAGAGGGUGUACGGCCACAUUGGGACUGAGAUACGGCCCAGACUCCUACGGGAGGCAGCAGUGGGGAAUAUUGCACAAUGGGCGCGAGCCUGAUGCAGCGACGCCGCGUGGGGGAUGACGGCCUUCGGGUUGUAAACUCCUUUCGCUGGGGACGAAGCGCAAGUGACGGUACCUGGAGAAGAAGCACCGGCUAACUACGUG
This 465-nucleotide ribosomal RNA is filed under the name uncultured bacterium. Its description in RNAcentral is "partial 16S ribosomal RNA". It matches the Rfam family "Bacterial small subunit ribosomal RNA", at positions 28 to 507 of the family's 1533-position model. The record is from RNAcentral.